RNAcentral lists this transfer RNA (98 nucleotides) under Streptomyces longispororuber. RNAcentral describes it as "tRNA-Arg". The record is from RNAcentral. Lineage: Bacteria; Bacillati; Actinomycetota; Actinomycetes; Kitasatosporales; Streptomycetaceae.
CCUCGGGGUCCUCGGGGUUGCCGGCGAGCGCCGCGUGCGCGGCGGUGGCGGCGGAGGCGAGCGCCUCCGCGUGGCCGAGCCGCUCGGCCUCGGCGGCC